This is a long non-coding RNA of Anas platyrhynchos (mallard), 5039 nucleotides long. RefSeq lists it as uncharacterized. The record is from RefSeq and is a predicted model, not a curated record. Lineage: Eukaryota; Metazoa; Chordata; Aves; Anseriformes; Anatidae.
CGAAUAUAAAAUGACGGUCCUCGCAACUGAGGGCUUAGUCUAAAUCACGCACGAUAGAAGAUGAAGGAUAGACCUGAGAAAGAAAGAAAUGAAGAAGGACAAUAGUCAGCAGUGCAGUCACACAAGAGGAAAGAAAUCUAUUUUAAUUGCCAUUUUGGAAGUAUUUUAUUCACGCUUAAUGAGGACCGAGGAAGAAAUGAAGGACGGGGAUUGAAUGUCUAGAAAUCAAAAUGGCUAGAAAUGAUUGAAAAAGGCUUGAAUUUAAACCAAAUUUAAACCAAAAAAGGAGUCAAGGUUUUCAGAUUUUUAUCUUUUUUAAUGUGUGCAUACUGAAUGGACAGUGUUUACCAAAAUUUGCCCUGCAUUUUGUUAGCAUGAGAUGGAGUAAGUGCUUUUUUAACAACGCAGGCUGGGCGGAAGCAAACCAGCAGUUCCCCUGGGGAAGGUGUUGGGGGAAGGGAAUUUGGCAGUGCCUCCGCACUUUCAGGCCAGUCACAGAGAAAGCCGUGUCCUGCAGGCUGAAAUAUCAGAUGCAGAUCCCCAGCUGGCAGCAGUUGUCACGGCUGCCUUGAAGUUGAUGAAUCUGUGACGUUUUUAAACAGCGAGCCCUAAAACUUUUGCUCUGAACUCUCAUGACAGAGCCCUGACAUGACUGUCCAGAAACAGAGGAGUGUAGGAGAUACCUGAUGGAGAGUUCUGGGCAGAGUAAGGGUAAGGGUUUUGCAGAGUCAUCGGUGAAACCUCAUUUGGAGUACAGCACAGCAACUUGGACAACCACAUUCAAGAAAAAUUAAAUCACACUGGAACAGAGUCAUUGGAAGAGUGACAGUGAUCUUCUGAGAGCCUGGCUUGUUUAGCCUGGCAAAACAAAGCCUGAGAAAGGGGAUAGGAUUGCUGUCUAUAAAUACACCAGUGAGUAAAUAUCACAGAUAGACCAGAGCUAUUUAAGCUUAAGGACAAUGCUAGCACAAAAACAAAUGGAUACAAACAGGUCCUGAAUAAAUUUAUGCUGGAAAUCAGAAAAGGGCUCAAUUCUUCUGGCCAUAAAAUUCUUCAACGCUAAUAAGAAGUAGUGGGGUGAGUUGCCCAGGCCAUUUUUUGAAAGAAGUGCAACGAGUGGAGUGAAGUGAUUAUACCACUCGACUGCAGUAGCAGGGACUGGGACUUGCCCGGGCUCCCUUCCUCAGCAGAAAUCGCCCAGCAAAAUUUGUGCUUUGCCUACCAGAAUCAAAGUGGGCCAAGCAUUCAUCAUGAUGGAUGCUGUUUAGUGUGAGGAGUCAAAUAAGCAGAACCACAGUCAAAGCCAUUCCUUCACUCCCAGUGAAUGCUAAUGACACUCGUUCAGCGCUGCAUGGAAAAUUCACUUGGUAAACUAGGUUAAUGGAAGAAAAUCCUCUUCUCUGAGGGACAGGGCCACUGGGUUGGAAGCCUCACUGCGGUGACCCUUGCACGUAUUUUGUAGUGUCCUCUUUUGUAAAUAUUUUCCAGCCCUAUGAAAGUUUGCCACAGACCUCUGCCAGCUUGCCUUAAAAAAUGCAGUCCCUACCAGAGCGAAGUAGGGUCCUGCUAGUGGUACCAAUAGCCUGUCCCCUCCCUGACUCCGAAGGUCUGGGCAGUAGACAGGCGUUUUUCCAAGUUCCUGAAGUACAGGAGGAUGGAAAGGACAGCACACAGGGUGGGAGAGGGGAGGGGAACAGCAGGAUGCUAGGGGUUAUUGGUCACUGCAUUGGUCAGGAGCAACAAAAAGAGCAACUCUCCAGUCAGCAUACGUGUGAUAGCAUUUCCACACUUCGAUCCCAGUACAUUUGAUACAACCAGAAAACUGGAUUACCCCCUAUUUACACAGGAAAUCACCAUCUCCACAUGGCACAGCAAGUGUCACCGCCUCCCUGCUCCCCUCUUUUUAUUUUUUGGGCGCAGGCGUUGCACUGCUGGCACUGGCAGGGAGGGCUUUGGGAGCCUGCUCCCUUUGGCUCCUGGCCACAGCCCGCGUGUGGCACGCAGCAAGGCUCAGCGAGAGCGGCUAUCGGCUCGAUCAAGCUUUUAAGUGCUCCCUGGACUAUUUUUGCAGCAGACCACGUUGCAGACCUUCAUAUCACCGCCGGUUCACUUCAGACUUGCUUCAACCCCUCUCAGCCAGCAGUAGCACGUUCUCCAAGUGCUCCUUCUGAAAGAAGCCAAGCACAAAAUGAACUGUUCCAACAAAAAUCUCUCUGAAGACCCACCUAGCUUACCAAACCUUUACCUACCCAGACUAAAGGGCUUGCAGUGGUGCUGCUACCAGGACCAGGAGGAGGAUGGUGGACCAGGAGCUGCCCCUGCCCUUCUGCUUCUCCUCACAAGCUCCACGCACCUCUGGCUGCUCUCUUUCGUGCAGGUGAAUACUGCGGUCACCUGAUGGAGAUGGAUUGUGGAGAUAGUUAUUCAUCUCAGCCCUUCGCCUUUUUCUCUUUGAGCUCCCAGUGUUAAAGAAAUUGUGUAUUGUUCCUUGGCUUUUCUAGCCCUGUUCGCAGCAAUUAGCAUUUUUAGUGCUUUUAACUUUAGCCAAAUAAACUUGCAAAGUAUGUUCUGAUUAACUAGUAACCACAUGACAAGCAGCUUCGUACAUAAGAUUGUCCAGAGGCCUUGAAUCCUGAAGAUCUAGAAAUUUAUAAAAGCCAAGGUGUAUGCACAGAGUCACGUCACAGCUGCUCGGAGAGGAGAAAUAAGUCACCAUCAAGCUGGAUUUCCUAGAGGUCUCAAGUUUAGGUAAUGUCAUCUCUUAGUGAUUAACUAUCAGCUAGGUCUGCCCUCUCUUAAUUUCUCCUGGUGUUUUUCAGGUGAAGCUAUUAUCCCCACAUGAAAAUGCCCCUGGUAAGGAACGAGCCAGGCCUCCAUUACUCAGUGGUCUCGUUUAAAGCCUCAUGCUUCCGACAAAGUAAUGGGAUAUUCUUGCUUUUAAGCACAGGAACCGGAUAAUAAAACACUGUAAGAACCCUGGGCUGAAGAUUGCCUGAAAUUUUUGUCUCCUUUUCCGGUGCUGAUGUUUCCUAAGCUCCCAAUGGAGAUUUUCUACAUCUAUGUAAAGUGUAUUUUGAAAGACAGCUCCACAGUCAUUGCUUCUACAUCACUCAUCUAGUUUUCAGCAGGCAUAUUCCAGUUCCUUAUCAGAUAUAGCUGCAAAAGGGAAACACAGAGUGAAGCGUAUUACCUGCGAUGACUACAUGCGAUGGCUGUAUUACAUUAAUCGGGAAUUGCUGCAAUGGACUGACUCUGUAAUUGCUUUCCGAUCUGAAGAGCGUUCAGUCUCAUCUCUACUCAUAAUCACUAUCUGAUCAGUGAAACGGGCCAUGAUAAAAGCUGGGUAAGAAAGCUUCCUUCUUUACUAAUUGGACGAGACUUGGAAACCAGAGGCUUUUCUGGGAGCGCUGCCUAUUUUCCUCAUAAUUAUUUGCAUAUUCAGUUCAACAGCAAAACAAGUCCAUAAUUGUUCAGUUCAGAAAUGAAAAGCUUCUCAUCAUGUACAUCGGUCAGAAAAAACAUGAGCAAUCACUACAUCAAUACUAAAUAGCACUAAAUCAGUACUACCUGCACUAAUUUGGGACUAGGAAGUGUAUAAAACAAAAACUUAAGAAGCUUAAGAAGGACAUUAAGGAAGGAAACCUGCUAGAGACGUUGUUUUAUGUAUGCUUGUUAGUACAAGGAAGAACUUUUCCACUGUUCAACGUGUAAAUUACAUUCACCAUCUAAUCACACCGAGACAAUCUGAGGUGUUUCCACAUUCAGAUAUGUUUUGUAACCAGUUUAUAGCUGAUGUGUAACUCACAACAGCGCUGCCAUCGCCUUAAAUUUAAUAACAAGGGUGGGGUCAGACCUAAAUGUGAGCCUCCCGCUUUGAUGCCUGACAUAAAUAAUGCACACAGAGAGUCUCAAAUGUUAUUUGGCUCUACUGCUGUGGAUUGAAUGUCAUGGCUUAAUGCCACUGUGCAGAAAUAACACCACCAAAAUAACUUGAUCUAACUAUUUAACCUUGCAAAUACAUAGUAGGAAAUGAGGCAAAGCCUGAAAAAAAAAAUGGGGGAGGGAGUUAAAAAUAAAUAAAUAAAGGCUGAAACUGAGUCUUUGAAUCCUUGUGGUUCAAACCCACAUUGCUUUCACAUCAUUUUGUUCCAUCCAAACUCAUAAGACUGUCUGGACCAGUAAUGGUUAUUACAACAUCAUUACACUCCAGCAUAGCUGUUUGUGCCUACUGAUCAAAUAAUUCUCAAAUAUAGGCCUAUUUAAUUAGGUGAUAGAGAAGGCAAACACUGAAGUCCAUUCUCGAGCAAUGUCUCAGAAAGUAACAUGAGAGUUUUACAUGAGAAAGGACUGACAAAAUAUUCAACAAACGCUCAGUGUCUGGCUCUUUUUGUUCUCCUAAAUUUCAGUGCAAAAGAAAGGGAAAGUAAUGCUUUAAAUAUAAAGUAUGUCAUUUCACAUUAUCUUUUUUUUCAAAAGACAUUGCAGCACAUCAGAUUAAUCUGUGGCAACUUCUGUCUGCAACUUCUACUGAUGAGAAUAAUCUUUUCCAUCAAACUCGUAGAUGAGUAAUAUUUAAAAGCUAGCACUCGCGUUUUCUUCAGUGUAACUUCCCAAGCUGUGGAGUUGACCAUUGAAAUCUGUCUAGGGAGAGAGUUUCACCAGGACUGCUCCACCCGAGAUUUCAAGCUCAGACAACUCAAUCAAUACAAAACAGAUGAGGCUGAACCACCAGAAAGCAGAUCACUCAAAAGUGGGCUCCUGUGCACCAAUUCCAACUUUUUGUUCUUGACAUUAGAGCUGUUCAGAAGUUAAACUUCAAGAUUGGCUUAUUUUCCAAGCCAGCUAGGAGAAAAAUGCACUCAGCCACUGUCGUGCCUGUACGACUGCAGUCUUUGCUCAAACCAACUUAAAAAUAAGUCUUCUGAGCAUCUUCCACACACACAUGAAAUAUUUCAAAAGAAAAAGGCAAACAUCACUGUUUCCUGUCGUAGAAUCAUAGAAUGGUUCAGGUUGGAAGGGACCUCAAAGCUCAUCUAACU